Molecule: ribosomal RNA, 111 nt
Filed under: Escherichia coli
Lineage: Bacteria; Pseudomonadati; Pseudomonadota; Gammaproteobacteria; Enterobacterales; Enterobacteriaceae
Also listed under: 12 other names
Description: partial 16S ribosomal RNA
Rfam family: Bacterial small subunit ribosomal RNA
Source: RNAcentral
UUAAAUUGAAGAGUUUGAUCAUGGCUCAGAUUGAACGCUGGCGGCAGGCCUAACACAUGCAAGUCGAACGGUAACAGGAAGCAGCUUGCUGCUUUGCUGACGAGUGGCGGA